This 407-nucleotide ribosomal RNA is filed under the name uncultured bacterium. Its description in RNAcentral is "bacterial SSU rRNA". It matches the Rfam family "Bacterial small subunit ribosomal RNA", at positions 976 to 1380 of the family's 1533-position model. The record is from RNAcentral.
AGGACUUGACAUAAUAUUGACCGGUAUAGAGAUAUACCUUUCUCUUCGGAGACAGUAUUACAGGUGGUGCAUGGUUGUCGUCAGCUCGUGUCGUGAGAUGUUGGGUUAAGUCCCGCAACGAGCGCAACCCUUAUCUUUAGUUGCCAGCACGUAAUGGUGGGAACUCUAAAGAGACUGCCGAUGAUAAAUCGGAGGAAGGUGGGGAUGACGUCAAAUCAUCAUGCCCUUUAUGUCCUGGGCUACACACGUGCUACAAUGGUUGGAAACAAAGAGAAGCUAAACAGCAAUGUCAUGCAAAUCUCAUAAAGCCAAUCUCAGUUCGGAUUGUAGGCUGCAACUCGCCUACAUGAAGUCGGAGUUGCUAGUAAUCGCAGAUCAGAAUGCUGCGGUGAAUGCGUUCCCGGGUC